RNAcentral lists this ribosomal RNA (490 nucleotides) under Salmonella enterica. RNAcentral describes it as "bacterial SSU rRNA". It matches the Rfam family "Bacterial small subunit ribosomal RNA", at positions 1 to 480 of the family's 1533-position model. Lineage: Bacteria; Pseudomonadati; Pseudomonadota; Gammaproteobacteria; Enterobacterales; Enterobacteriaceae. The record is from RNAcentral.
AAAUUGAAGAGUUUGAUCAUGGCUCAGAUUGAACGCUGGCGGCAGGCCUAACACAUGCAAGUCGAACGGUAACAGGAAGCAGCUUGCUGCUUCGCUGACAAGUGGCGGACGGGUGAGUAAUGUCUGGGAAACUGCCUGAUGGAGGGGGAUAACUACUGGAAACGGUGGCUAAUACCGCAUAACGUCGCAAGACCAAAGAGGGGGACCUUCGGGCCUCUUGCCAUCAGAUGUGCCCAGAUGGGAUUAGCUAGUUGGUGAGGUAACGGCUCACCAAGGCGACGAUCCCUAGCUGGUCUGAGAGGAUGACCAGCCACACUGGAACUGAGACACGGUCCAGACUCCUACGGGAGGCAGCAGUGGGGAAUAUUGCACAAUGGGCGCAAGCCUGAUGCAGCCAUGCCGCGUGUAUGAAGAAGGCCUUCGGGUUGUAAAGUACUUUCAGCGGGGAGGAAGGUGUUGUGGUUAAUAACCACAGCAAUUGACGUUACCC